Mauremys mutica (yellowpond turtle) is the source of this 4909-nucleotide RNA transcript. It is a transcript of the gene named apical junction component 1 homolog, with no coding region annotated. Lineage: Eukaryota; Metazoa; Chordata; Testudines; Geoemydidae. The record is from RefSeq and is a predicted model, not a curated record. The transcript has 4 exons.
UGGGGGUCAUCCAGGGCCAGGCGCCACCUGUGAGGCGCGUUGCUCAGCCCCGGACAGACGCGGGCGCCGCGCCAGGGGAGAAGCCGGGGACUCGGGCGCGGCCCCUUUAAGGCUGCGCCUGCCCGCUGGGGGCGAUGAGGAGCUGGAAGCGGCCGAGGAGCCAGGCGCAGCCUGACAGCCCCAGAAUGGAUCCCAGCAUGGAGCUGACACAGCAGCCUGUGCCAGCUUUGCCCAUCCAAAUACACACCACUGCCAUCAGACCAGGGCUGGCUGGCUUCCCCUGAGAUGAUCUGAAGAGGAGCUGGAGAAGGAAGAGCUUGUUUAAGAUGACACGAACCGACCCACCUGACAUACUGGUGUCUACAGUGUAUCAAGACCUAGAGGUGAAGUGCCCAGCACCCAGGGAUCCCAUCGUCUGCCAGCCACUGACACAAUGUGACGCCUUAAUGUCGGCGUCUCUGCCGCGCGACCCGCAGCCCUUCAACAAGCGCCACUGUAGGAGCUUUGACUUUCUUGAGUUGCUCGACGACCAGCUGGCCCCUGCUCCUGCUAUGGAGCGCCACUGCCGGCACCCGGGCACCCCCGAGCCUUCCUCAGGCUCCGGAGGCAGGAAGGCUCCUCCCAGGCCGGACGUUCAGAACACCAGGCCACCCCCUCAUGGCAGGGAAGGCCCCAAGGAGCCAUUGGCUCGGGCGGAGCCAAAGAGGCGAGCGAGGUCCAAGAGCGCCCCUCGGGUGAAAUCCACCUUCACUCCCAUUCCCAUCCAGAUGUCGUCCUCGUCUCCCCCCAUGCCGGCCAGGCGGGGACGGGAGGCUCUGCGCCUCUCCAGGGAGCCUGCGAGGACGGAGACGUCCCCGCGCAGGGGGAGCGGAUACGCACCAAUGAAGGCCCCAAUGAACGAGGUGCACCCCAUCAAGCUGCAGCCCCAGCGGAGCAGCACCAGCCGCAUCUCCCCACUAUGUGUCAGCAGCAACUGCCCGGAGGAGGCCCCAGGUGGGAGGCCGGCCACAAGCCUGCAUGUCAAGUGCCGGAUGGACAUGAAGCCAGACGAGGCGGUGCUGGUGCACGCGGCACACAGCCUGAAGGCCCAGAGCAGGAUGGAGGUGCCAUCCUGGCCGAGGCCGCCUGGCGCUAUCCGGAGCCUGACCAUCCCAAGCAGCAGGCAGGUGUCCGUGUCCCGCACUCCCACACCCAGCGAUUCCUACAGCGGGGAGCACAGGCUGCCCUACCCCAACGAGUACUACGAAGGUGACCCCCGAGGCCAGGUUUACCAGGCCGUGCCCUCCCCGCAGGACUAUCCCGAGAGGGGCUGUGUGACCUUCUCCGCUCCUAACGUGCCCACCAAGUUCUUCUACACAGAGGAGCCAGCCGGGUGCCCUGGCCUCGGCAUUCCACUGAAAAGCUCUGGCUACGAGGCGUGUCCUCGCCCAUACCCAGGGCGCCACCUCCCUCCACAGCCCUUCUACCCGGAGGACCCAGCCAAAGGUAAUAUCCACACCAUCCCACCCAGGACUUUCUACGUGGAAGAAGCUCGGACCUACCCCAUCCAGGAAGCCCCUGCCCGCACCUUCUACAGAGAAGACCCUCGAUUCUACACCUCCAGGGGCAUGCCCACCAAACCCCUCUAUGCAGAGGACCCCAGGAUGUACCCUGCUCUGAACACCUCCUCCCGGUUGUUCUACACUGAGGAUUAUGGCAAAUACCAUGAGAGGGAAUCCAUUUCGCGGACGUACCCUCAUGCCCGUAGCACCCAGCCUUUGCAGUUCAGCGACUGGUACUGCCCGGACCGGGGUGCACUGCCCUACCAGACCUUGCAGAUGUCCCGCUUUGCACCUCAUCCCUCUGGGCAGGAGGCCUUGCUUUCCUCUUGGCAUGCCAGCUACAGCGCCAACCAGCCCCGCCUAGGCACAGACACCCGGCAUUACUCCAAAUCCUGGGACAACAUCCUGGCGCCCAGUGUCCGCAGGGAGGACCCCAUGUUCCGCGGGCGCAGCUAUGAGAACCUGCUCGCCCGGGAGCAGCACCGUGCCUUAUCCCCUGACGACCGGCGGCAGCCCGUGGUGAUCAAUCUGUCCAGUUCCCCCAAGCGCUAUGCCGCGCUCUCCCUCUCGGAGAACUCCAUCAUGGAGAAGAUGCACGCAGACGGUGGGCGGUGCCCCCUGGGCCGCUCCUGGUUUGUCACCCCAGAAAUCACCAUCACCGACAAUGACAUCAAAGCCAAUGGGCUGAGCAAGAGCGAGAAGCGCUCGGCCAGCUGGGAUAUGCUGGAUGCCGGGCGGGAUGGGCAUCGCUCCCGCGCCGCACACUGCUACUUGGAUCCUACUGCCAAAGAGACCAUCCAAAGCAGCUCCGCCCGCCAGCGCAGCCUGGAGCAGCUGGACGAGCUGAUCACAGACCUGGUCAUCGACUCCAAGCCCCCGCCCAGCCGCCGCCCCAGCAACGGGGACAGCCUGACAGACCAGCUCAAGAGGCUGAUCGACAGUGACGCGCCCGGGCCUGCCAGGAAGCUGGAGGCCAGGAAGCCGCUGCCUUUAUUGGUGGGUGGUCCCAGGCCCACCAAGGAGCAGCCGGGCCCGAGUUCCUUCCACAGAGACGUACGCAGGGAGCAGGGUGGCCGCUCGCUUGCCAUGUCUGCCUCCAGCAGCAGCUUUGAGAAGCAGCAGGAUGGCUGCUCCCCGGAGCUGAGCGCGGACGAGGACGACAUGAUGAUGUGUUCGAAUGCCAAGUGCAAGCGCACGGAGACCAUGUUCAAUGCCUGCCUCUACUUCAAGUCCUGCCACAGCUGCUAUACAUACUACUGCUCCCGGAGCUGCCGCCGCGAGGACUGGGACACGCACAAGGAGAGCUGCGUCUAUGGGCGUAUCGGGAGCAUCUGCCGGCACGUGCUGCAGUUCUGCCGGGAGAAUGCCGAGGUGCACAAGGCCUUCUCGCGCAUUGCCAAGGUGGGGUACCUUUCCCGGGGGCGAGGGGUGCUGUUCCUGGGCUUCCCCAGCUCAGGCUCAGCCGAGAACUUCCUCCAGUUUGGCUUGGAGAGCCUGCUGAUGUCUCCCACCUACCUGUCCCUGCGGGAGCUGGAGGGCUACGCGGAGAGCCUGGGGGAUUAUGCCCGGGAGUUGGGGGUGUCUGGCAGCCAGUACGACCCUGAGGAAUGUUUCCUCUUGAAUGUAACUGUGGCCGUUGGACAAAAAGUGCCUGUGAGGCCAUCCCCCAAGGUCCAGGUGCCGACAGUCAGGAAAUACGCCAAGAUGGCCUUAGCCUCCUCCAGCCCCGAGAAGCAGAUCCUGAAGAAGGAACGGGACAUGGAGACCUUGAUCCUGACCCCCCCGCCUGGCACGGCGGACCUCGACAAGGAGGGGGAGGAAGGGCGGAAGGCCCGGGAGGUCUGCUUCAUCAACAUCCAGCGGGAGCUGCGGAUCCGAGGCGUCUUCCUGCGCCAUGAGUUCCCCAAAAUCUACGAGCAGCUGUGUGACUUUGUGGAGAGCAACAAGAGGUUCACGCCCACCACCAUCUACCCCAUUGACAGGCGGACCGGAAAGCAGUUCAUGUGCAUGAUCAUGGCCGCCUCUGAGCCACGGACCCUGGACUGGGUCGCCAGCCCCAACCUCCUGGACGACCUCAUGUGACCAGCGCUGCCGCACCACACAGGCCUCCUGUUUAGUCCCCUUUGUAGACAGGGCUUGAGUUCUGAGCCAGGGCAGCCCCACCUUUUGGGGCUGCCUCAGCCAACAAGAGAAGGGGGCACAAGUUCUGCCUCAUUUACAAUGCAAAGGUGAAGUGAGCAGCAAGAGGGGAGCAGUGCAGAGACGCCGAUCAGCUGCCAAACACUGGACACGAGGAGCUGAGACCAAAUUCCUGCAUUCCCAGCCCAUACCCUCAGCUGCCCUAGUCAGCAUCCAUGUCAAGUGAGAGACGCUGACUUACACCAGACGAGGAUCUGCCCCAGGGAACACCAUGUGCCCAUUGCUGUGUUACAGGUGCACUGGGGAGGUUCACCUAGGCAGUGGUUCCCAAACGUUAGCAAACCAAGGGCCCCCCAAGCCACCCACUCAGCCCCGGGCCCCGCCUCCACUCCAUCCCUUCCCCCAAGGCCCCCUGCCUCUUUCCACCCUCUCCCCCAAGCAUGCCCGUCCUCGCUCCUCCCCCUUCCUCCCAGGCCCUCCUGCAGGCCAUGGAACAGGAGGCACUGAGAGGGGCGGAGGACCCACAGGAGUGCCCUCGCAGACCCCUUUGAGAAACGCUGACCUAGAGGGAAUCCUAAAGCUUUCCCUCUCCAUGCUGUUGGCUUCCCUUCAGCACAGGCCGUGCAACCCACGGGUCAGGGUCAGUUUCCAUGCUCUAGCUGAGGGCUGUUGUGUUUGGGUUGCCAAGGAAGUGUGCCAGCCUUUAGAGACCAGUCCGUUUUGUUGUCUUUCCUGGGACCGCCCAGUCCUCUGCCAUCUCAUCAAUGCUCAUUUCUUACCAGCCCUUCUUUUGCGGCCAAGUUUGACUCUGACCCUUUCAACUCCCUGGGGUUCAUGCUGGGGCUGUUAGGGUUUGACCCCCGAAGCUUGGAGCCACAGGUGGCCUUGGAUCUGUGCCUGGAGCCUCCCUGGAGGUGAAGGGGGGGGUGUUGUUGUAAACUGGGGGGUAUAAGCCCCAUUUGCUGAUGUGUUACUGGCCAUGUGAAAUGGAGAAGGGAGUUUGAGAACUGACCUUUCCCCUGGACAAUUCUGUUACCCACUCGAGGCACUUCCAUGGGCUCAAGAUGUAACACCGGCACCCCCACCCUUGCCCAGUUCCCAAUGCUCGGGGCGAAAGGCAGGGGUGGCUCUAGCUUUUUUGCUGCCCCAAGCACGGCAGGCAGGCUGCCUUCGGCGGUGCGCCUGUGGGAGGUCCCCAGUCCCGCGGAUUCGGCGGCGUGCCUGCGGGA